CAUGUAGGCGGAUAUGUAGGUCAGAUGUGAAAGCCCUUGGCUCAACCAAGGAAGUGCAUCUGAAACCCCGUAUCUUGAGUAUGACAGAGGGAAGUGGAAUUUCCAGUGUAGAGGUGAAAUUCAUAGAUAUUGAAAGAACACCGGUGGCGAAGGCGGCUUUCUGGGUCAUUACUGACGCUGAGAUGCGAAAGCGUGGGGAGCAAACAGGAUUAGAUACCCUGGUAGUCC
This 228-nucleotide ribosomal RNA is filed under the name uncultured bacterium. RNAcentral's name for it is "partial 16S ribosomal RNA". It matches the Rfam family "Bacterial small subunit ribosomal RNA", at positions 568 to 796 of the family's 1533-position model. The record is from RNAcentral.